GAGUUUGAUCGUGGCUCAGAUUGAACGCUGGCGGCAGGCCUAACACAUGCAAGUCGAGCGGAUGACGGGAGCUUGCUCCUUGAUUCAGCGGCGGACGGGUGAGUAAUGCCUAGGAAUCUGCCUGGUAGUGGGGGACAACGUUUCGAAAGGAACGCUAAUACCGCAUACGUCCUACGGGAGAAAGCAGGGGACCUUCGGGCCUUGCGCUAUCAGAUGAGCCUAGGUCGGAUUAGCUAGUUGGUGGGGUAAUGGCUCACCAAGGCGACGAUCCGUAACUGGUCUGAGAGGAUGAUCAGUCACACUGGAACUGAGACACGGUCCAGACUCCUACGGGAGGCAGCAGUGGGGAAUAUUGGACAAUGGGCGAAAGCCUGAUCCAGCCAUGCCGCGUGUGUGAAGAAGGUCUUCGGAUUGUAAAGCACUUUAAGUUGGGAGGAAGGGCAGUAAGUUAAUACCUUGCUGUUUUGACGUUACCGACAGAAUAAGCACCGGCUAACUCUGUGACAGCAG
Molecule: ribosomal RNA, 510 nt
Filed under: bacterium enrichment culture clone ALO1_GLFRUDD03GP6LS
Lineage: Bacteria
Description: bacterial SSU rRNA
Rfam family: Bacterial small subunit ribosomal RNA
Source: RNAcentral